RNAcentral lists this ribosomal RNA (2901 nucleotides) under Escherichia coli. RNAcentral describes it as "23S ribosomal RNA". It matches the Rfam family "Bacterial large subunit ribosomal RNA". Lineage: Bacteria; Pseudomonadati; Pseudomonadota; Gammaproteobacteria; Enterobacterales; Enterobacteriaceae. The record is from RNAcentral.
UUAAGCGACUAAGCGUACACGGUGGAUGCCCUGGCAGUCAGAGGCGAUGAAGGACGUGCUAAUCUGCGAUAAGCGUCGGUAAGGUGAUAUGAACCGUUAUAACCGGCGAUUUCCGAAUGGGGAAACCCAGUGUGAUUCGUCACACUAUCAUUAACUGAAUCCAUAGGUUAAUGAGGCGAACCGGGGGAACUGAAACAUCUAAGUACCCCGAGGAAAAGAAAUCAACCGAGAUUCCCCCAGUAGCGGCGAGCGAACGGGGAGCAGCCCAGAGCCUGAAUCAGUGUGUGUGUUAGUGGAAGCGUCUGGAAAGGCGUGCGAUACAGGGUGACAGCCCCGUACACAAAAAUGCACAUAUUGUGAGCUCGAUGAGUAGGGCGGGACACGUGGUAUCCUGUCUGAAUAUGGGGGGACCAUCCUCCAAGGCUAAAUACUCCUGACUGACCGAUAGUGAACCAGUACCGUGAGGGAAAGGCGAAAAGAACCCCGGCGAGGGGAGUGAAAAAGAACCUGAAACCGUGUACGUACAAGCAGUGGGAGCACGCUUAGGCGUGUGACUGCGUACCUUUUGUAUAAUGGGUCAGCGACUUAUAUUCUGUAGCAAGGUUAACCGAAUAGGGGAGCCGAAGGGAAACCGAGUCUUAACUGGGCGUUAAGUUGCAGGGUAUAGACCCGAAACCCGGUGAUCUAGCCAUGGGCAGGUUGAAGGUUGGGUAACACUAACUGGAGGACCGAACCGACUAAUGUUGAAAAAUUAGCGGAUGACUUGUGGCUGGGGGUGAAAGGCCAAUCAAACCGGGAGAUAGCUGGUUCUCCCCGAAAGCUAUUUAGGUAGCGCCUCGUGAAUUCAUCUCCGGGGGUAGAGCACUGUUUCGGCAAGGGGGUCAUCCCGACUUACCAACCCGAUGCAAACUGCGAAUACCGGAGAAUGUUAUCACGGGAGACACACGGCGGGUGCUAACGUCCGUCGUGAAGAGGGAAACAACCCAGACCGCCAGCUAAGGUCCCAAAGUCAUGGUUAAGUGGGAAACGAUGUGGGAAGGCCCAGACAGCCAGGAUGUUGGCUUAGAAGCAGCCAUCAUUUAAAGAAAGCGUAAUAGCUCACUGGUCGAGUCGGCCUGCGCGGAAGAUGUAACGGGGCUAAACCAUGCACCGAAGCUGCGGCAGCGACGCUUAUGCGUUGUUGGGUAGGGGAGCGUUCUGUAAGCCUGCGAAGGUGUGCUGUGAGGCAUGCUGGAGGUAUCAGAAGUGCGAAUGCUGACAUAAGUAACGAUAAAGCGGGUGAAAAGCCCGCUCGCCGGAAGACCAAGGGUUCCUGUCCAACGUUAAUCGGGGCAGGGUGAGUCGACCCCUAAGGCGAGGCCGAAAGGCGUAGUCGAUGGGAAACAGGUUAAUAUUCCUGUACUUGGUGUUACUGCGAAGGGGGGACGGAGAAGGCUAUGUUGGCCGGGCGACGGUUGUCCCGGUUUAAGCGUGUAGGCUGGUUUUCCAGGCAAAUCCGGAAAACUAAGGCUGAGGCGUGAUGACGAGGCACUACGGUGCUGAAGCAACAAAUGCCCUGCUUCCAGGAAAAGCCUCUAAGCAUCAGGUAACAUCAAAUCGUACCCCAAACCGACACAGGUGGUCAGGUAGAGAAUACCAAGGCGCUUGAGAGAACUCGGGUGAAGGAACUAGGCAAAAUGGUGCCGUAACUUCGGGAGAAGGCACGCUGAUAUGUAGGUGAAGUCCCUCGCGGAUGGAGCUGAAAUCAGUCGAAGAUACCAGCUGGCUGCAACUGUUUAUUAAAAACACAGCACUGUGCAAACACGAAAGUGGACGUAUACGGUGUGACGCCUGCCCGGUGCCGGAAGGUUAAUUGAUGGGGUUAGCGCAAGCGAAGCUCUUGAUCGAAGCCCCGGUAAACGGCGGCCGUAACUAUAACGGUCCUAAGGUAGCGAAAUUCCUUGUCGGGUAAGUUCCGACCUGCACGAAUGGCGUAAUGAUGGCCAGGCUGUCUCCACCCGAGACUCAGUGAAAUUGAACUCGCUGUGAAGAUGCAGUGUACCCGCGGCAAGACGGAAAGACCCCGUGAACCUUUACUAUAGCUUGACACUGAACAUUGAGCCUUGAUGUGUAGGAUAGGUGGGAGGCUUGGAAGUGUGGACGCCAGUCUGCAUGGAGCCGACCUUGAAAUACCACCCUUUAAUGUUUGAUGUUCUAACGUUGACCCGUGAUCCGGGUUGCGGACAGUGUCUGGUGGGUAGUUUGACUGGGGCGGUCUCCUCCUAAAGAGUAACGGAGGAGCACGAAGGUUGGCUAAUCCUGGUCGGACAUCAGGAGGUUAGUGCAAUGGCAUAAGCCAGCUUGACUGCGAGCGUGACGGCGCGAGCAGGUGCGAAAGCAGGUCAUAGUGAUCCGGUGGUUCUGAAUGGAAGGGCCAUCGCUCAACGGAUAAAAGGUACUCCGGGGAUAACAGGCUGAUACCGCCCAAGAGUUCAUAUCGACGGCGGUGUUUGGCACCUCGAUGUCGGCUCAUCACAUCCUGGGGCUGAAGUAGGUCCCAAGGGUAUGGCUGUUCGCCAUUUAAAGUGGUACGCGAGCUGGGUUUAGAACGUCGUGAGACAGUUCGGUCCCUAUCUGCCGUGGGCGCUGGAGAACUGAGGGGGGCUGCUCCUAGUACGAGAGGACCGGAGUGGACGCAUCACUGGUGUUCGGGUUGUCAUGCCAAUGGCACUGCCCGGUAGCUAAAUGCGGAAGAGAUAAGUGCUGAAAGCAUCUAAGCACGAAACUUGCCCCGAGAUGAGUUCUCCCUGACUCCUUGAGAGUCCUGAAGGAACGUUGAAGACGACGACGUUGAUAGGCCGGGUGUGUAAGCGCAGCGAUGCGUUGAGCUAACCGGUACUAAUGAACCGUGAGGCUUAACCU